Zea mays is the source of this 474-nucleotide long non-coding RNA. RefSeq lists it as uncharacterized. The transcript has 2 exons. The record is from RefSeq and is a predicted model, not a curated record. Lineage: Eukaryota; Viridiplantae; Streptophyta; Magnoliopsida; Poales; Poaceae.
AUCAAUCUGGCCGCUACCCUCAUCUGCGUUAGUGUUUCGCUGCCCCCUCCGAAUCACUAUUGGCGCGCUGGGCGGAUUGAUGGUGGCUGCCAUGUUCCAAUAGGUGGGCGUGUCGUCGUUCGUGUUGAGCGCGUGGCCGGGGUGAUUUAUCUUGGCGUGCCGUGGCGAUUCGUGAAGACCCCGGGCGGGAUCGACGACAGUACCACCCGGAAUUCGUCGCCGUGAACCUGCGCCGCCGUAAAACCGCAAUCGGGCACUACAUCAAUCAGGCACCGAUUCAUGGUCAAGAACAGGUACCGCAGGAUGAGGCGCAUGGAGGAUGCUGUGGCGAGUUCGUGAGAGGUCUAGGUCGUCGUCUCCCAGUCAACUUUGGGUUGCUGGACCGUUGUCUCCAUAUAAUGUAAUUAUUUAUUUACUUUGUACAGAACUCCGAUUAUAUAGUAAAGAUGUGACAUUCGAUCCUGUGCCAUGAUU